ACACGCAUGACACACUGCAUAUCAAUAAGCGGAGGAAAAGAAACUAACAAGGAUUCCCUUAGUAACGGCGAGUGAAGCGGGAAGAGCUCAAAUUUGAAAUCUUCAAGGGUUCUACCUUUACGAAUUGUAGUUUAUAGAAGUGUUUUCUGUUAGUGGAGUGGCAAAAGUUCUUUGGAAUAGGACAUCAUAGAGGGUGAGAAUCCCGUAUUUGGUACAUUCCUCCUAGCGUUGUGAUACACUUUCAACGAGUCGGAUUGUUUGGGAAUGCAGUCCAAAAUGGGUGGUAAAUUUCAUCUAAAGCUAAAUACUGGCGAGAGACCGAUAGCGAACAAGUACCGUGAGGGAAAGAUGAAAAGAACUUUGAAAAGAGAGUUAAACAGUACGUGAAAUUGUCAAAAGGGAAGCGUUUGACACCAGUGUUGUUUUCUCGAAAAUCAAUUAAAAAUGAUGGGAUCUUGUGUUGUAUUGACUUUAUCAGCUUUCUGCACUCUUUUUCCUAUCUUUUUUAAUGCACUUUUCGUUUAACAAGUCAACAUCAAUUUCUUUUGUUGUAAAAGGGUCAUUGGAAGGUGGCUUUCUUUUCGGAGAAAGUGUUUAUAGCCUUUGGCUUCUGCAAUCGGAGAGAUUGAGGUCUGCAGCGUAGAUCCUUCGGGGUUAGAUGCAUUUGUGCUAAGUUAUAGCCUUUCAUAGACAACUUGUUGACUAUGAUCAGUCAUGUAGCUUACUCGCUUAUGUUAUAUUACCUACGCUUAGGAUGUUGACUGAUAUGUAGUCGUA
RNAcentral lists this ribosomal RNA (777 nucleotides) under uncultured Neocallimastigales. Its description in RNAcentral is "partial large subunit ribosomal RNA". It matches the Rfam family "Eukaryotic large subunit ribosomal RNA", at positions 23 to 644 of the family's 3401-position model. The record is from RNAcentral. Lineage: Eukaryota; Fungi; Neocallimastigomycota; Neocallimastigomycetes; Neocallimastigales.